UUUUUCUUUUUUUUUUUUUCUUUUUUUUUUUUUAUUGGCUGCACUUGCGGCAUAUAGAAAUUCCCAGGCCAGGGAUCAAGGGAUCAAAUCUGAGCCACAGGUGCAACCCAUGGCAUACCUGCCACAACACAGGAUCCCUAACCCACUACACCAGGCCAGGGUUCAAAUCCACACCUCAAACCCAAUGCCUGCACAGACAGCACAGGAUCCCUUGUGCACCACAGCAGGAAUUCAUCAAAUAUCUUACUUUAAAAUUCAAACAAACAGGAACAUUUAUCUGUGUACUUUAAAUAGGAAGUAGGUGUGACAUGGGAAUGAUAUUUGUUUACCACAUGUGAAUGCGAUUAUUUGGGGAAUUUAAAAAUACACUUCAUGGAACAAAAGUCAUUCAAUAAUAGAAACAUCAUGAAAUGUCUACUUCAAGAAACCUGAGUUUUAGAAAUAAUGUAUUUUGUUCAAUAAAAACAAUUCUAUUCUGAUCUGCCUAACACUGGAAAUCAACAUUUAAUUUCAGGACUGUGAACAAUAAACAAAUAAAUAUAAUAGGAAGGUAGAAAUUUCUUCCUUUUCUUCUUUUCUCCUCUCCUCACCUUUCCUUUUUCCACAGAUUACUGAGCAAUAGAAAAUGAAAAAGAAAAUAUGAAUAUUUCAAUGAAUAAGAACUUAUUUAUCAAAUGAGUAUAAUACAUCAAUCACAAUGGUAAACAUUCUUAUUAAAGGCAGAAUCCCUUUUAAUUUUCACAAUAACUCUUUAUGGUGGAUGCUAUUUCUCUACCCGUUUUACAUAGAAACUGAGGACUAGAGAAUGUAGUGGUAUUUUUUAUUGCAACCUGCUUAUUCCUUCUCAAAAGAGUAACAAUUUUGAUGUUAUCUACUCUUCAUCUGUGAGUCUAUUCCACACUCAUUUAUUUGAAUUGGACAGACAUCAGUAAUUCUAUAUGAACCAUUCCUUAAUUCUUAAGUCAUGAAGAGAAAUUGGAAGCUUCUGGAAAAUAUUUACUUGCUAAUACGAGAAAGCACAGGAAGGAAUGUUUUAACUUCUUCCUCUGAAUAUGAUUGUGUCUUGGUAACAACAGGAUUAUCUGUAGCCAUUGGCUGCAGUGAUGAUGAAAUUGACUAUAAGCAUGAUAGAUUACAGAGAUGAGAAAAAAAAAACAAAACAAACCUGCAUCCUCGAUGGUAUUCCAAAGACACUGAUUAAAUCUGUCCAAAAAGCCAUGCUGUUGUCUAAUGAAGUUUAAGUCCAUUUGAAUUGGGGUUUCUUUUAUUUGCAACCGAAAGUAGCCUAAUUGAAAGAGGUUGUUUAAUAUAAUUCAGAGUUCUCCAAAAAAAACAUAAACAAAAACCCAGACCUAAGAGGAUGGAGAGAGACAGACAGAGGGAGAGAGAGAUGAUAGAUAUGUAGAUUUAGAUGUAUAGAUUAGACUUAUUAUAAGGAGUUGGCUCACAUAAUUAUGGAGGCUGGCCAAGUCCCAAGGUCUGCAGGAUGAGUCAGAAAGCAGAAGACCCAGGAAAGCUGGUGGUUUAAUUACAGUUUGAAGGCCAGCAGGCUGGAGACCCAGGGUGAGCUGAUGUUCCAGUUUAAAUCUGAGGGCAGGAAAAAAGCCAAUGUCCCAGUUCUAAGGCUGUCAAGUAAGAGGAAUUCUCUCUUACUUGAGGAAGAACGAGUAUUUUUGUUCUAUUAAAGACUUCAAUUGACUGGAUGAGGCCUACUCACAUUAUGGAGGACAAUCUGCUUUACCCAGAUUUCAGAUUUAAAGUUUAACUUUAUCCAAAAACACCAUCCCAGGAAGACUCAAAAUAAUGCUUAAGCAAAUAUCUGGCACUGUGGGACCUGGUCAAACUGACACACAAAAUUAAUCAUCACAGAGGUGUUAAAAGUUCACAAUGCUGUCAGUAGAAGAGAUAAGAUUUGAACCCAGGUGCUCUAUCUCAAGGGCUUCUGCUUACAAACACUAGGACAUAUUGACAUAAUUCCUUCAGAGAGAAAGAAAAGCUACUUUUUCCUAGGGUGAAAUGUAAAUAACCCUGAAAGUUAUCUCUAAUAAAAAUUACUAUGAAAGUUAGCUUUCUAGUUGGCUAAAAUAUCCCACCAUUGUCAUAACUACCAAAUAAUUUUCUUAAGAAGUAUUUUGUGAGUAGCUGGUUAAUUUUAUUUAGAAGUUGAGAGGGCAGAGUCAAUGUUACUUCAACAGGCUUCAAAGCCUUAGUGACUAGAAUGAUGACAAUGUUAAGAAAUAAUUCAAGUGUUUUGAUGGGGAAAUUCAAUCUUAGGUUCUAGUGACAGAUGCAUAUAGAGAUAUUCAAUAGACAGUAGAUAACCUAGAGUUCAGUUGAAAGAUUAAAACUAGAUAUAUAAAUCUGUGGUUACAGGAUCUACUCUUUUUCAUGACUUUAAUGUAUAUGAUAUAUAUUAUAUAUAAUAUGUUUUAUAUAUAUAACACCUUGAUUGAGAUAUAAUUCAAAUACUAUUUGAAGUAAACAAUUCAAUGGUUUCCAACAUACUGAGUUGUGCAAUUCUUCUCUACAGUCAAUUUUAGAACAUUUUCAUUACCUGAAAAAAAGAAACCCUGGACCCAGUAGCAGUCACUUUCCAUUUCUUCCCAACCCAUGACAAUAGGCUUCUACUAAUCACCAUUUGUAAAGGUAUCUCCCUGGUACCAGGGAGAGGAAGAUGGCCAAAUUUUUAGAAAUUCUUUUCAAUAGAGGAGGUAAAGACUUAAAUCUGGAUCACAAUCACCCUUGUUUUCUCUGCUUUUCUCAUAAUUGACUCCCUACCCUUAACAUCCUCUUUUGUCUUUAGCUGAAGAUGGUGUUUAAGGUAAGGGUUUCAGUCAUUUUGGCAAGUUACUUAGUUAUCCUGGAUCUCUCCCAUGUAUACAUGUUAUUAAAAUUUGACUUUUCUCCUAUAAAUCUGUCUCAUGACAAGUUAAUUCAUAAACCAGCCAGAAGAACCUAGAAGAUGCUAACUGGAGACUGGCACUUAUCACUUGCCUCUACAAGGAUUAAAUCAUGAGCCCCUGCAGCUGCUGACCUUCUACACCCCCUCAAAGGAACUCAGGGUAAAGAUUAGGAGUGAGACACUUUGUGCUCUGGAAAAACUGGCAGAACAGGCCUUCAGAUAGUUACAUAUUUUUAGGAGAAGAUUUUAUGCAUUGCCUCAUAUCUAAAAAACCACUAAAAUCCUCCAUGGUGACAUCUGCUCCUCAUGAGUAGCAGUGACCUUCAGGAGACUAGCAGUAACCUUCUGUAAAAAUGUGUGCUUGAUUGCAUGGACCCCCUCCCAACCCCCUCACCAAAAUCACAUAUAUACUGACAUUCCCUCCUGCCUUUUUGGAGUGUUUUCUCAGAGCUAUCUGAUAGGCCUCUUCCCAGGCUAUAGUCUUCAUUUUGCCCCAAACAAUAUUUAACUCACAAUUCUAUUGAUAUGUAUUUUAUUUUCAGCCAAUAAUGGGUAGAGAAAAACUUCCUGCAUCCCAACACUUUACAAGAAAGUAGUCAAAUUUAAACACAGACCAGGUUCAAAGUAUAGGAAGCCAAUUUACCACAGUACACUUCCAAGAAAGGAUUCUCAUGACCCUUUUAACCACUUUAUCUAAAUGGGAAAACACAGGAAUAGAAAAGACACCAAACACUAUCUCUAUCCUACUUGCUCAUCCUAUGAAGGCUUUGGGACUGAAGCAAACCUAAAGGAGAGAAGAUUUGAUUUUAAAUCAAGUCCAAAAUUUUGAGUAAGAUUUUAAAGAGAUUUCCUAUUGUGGUACAGCAUAUUAAGGACCUAGUGUUGUCGUCUGCAGUAGCUCAGGUUGCUGCUGAGGUACAGGUUCAAUCCCUGGCCUGGUGCAGUGGGUUAUGGAUCUGGUGUUCCUGGACUGUGGUGUAGGUUGCAGCUAUGACUCAGAUUCGAUUCCUGGCCAGAAAUUUCUAUAUGCCAUGGGUGCGGCAAAAAAAAAAAGAUUUUAAAUAAAUAUUAUAACUUUAGAUUUUAGAUGGUGUCAAAUAAAAAAUAUGCACAACCUAAAAGUUUAGAGUUUUGCUUUAUUUGGUGGACAAAACUGAGGAGGUAAGCCCUGGAGACUGCAUUCCAAGUUAACACUUGCGGGGCGAUAGAAUAUAUAGGAAUUUUGCAACAAAGGGCAGGUAGUAGGAACAAAAGAUUACUGCUAAGAACAGAAAACUAGAUAGCUCAAGUUAAGGAAUUUAGCACUUUUCUAUGUAUGGGAAGAUGCAAGGUCUGGGCUCACUGAAAUUAUUCCUUUGAUGUGCACCUCAGCCAUUGGGGCCAAUAUCCUACAUUUCCUCAGGGCUCACUGCCAGGAAUGGCUGCAGUCUGAUGGCUGCUAGAUAGCAGGUAUUCUUUGUUUCCUUCCUGAGUUCCCUCAGAGCUCACCAGCUCACUCUUGAAGGUGGCUGCAAUCUCUAACGACAGUGACGUCUUUCGUUUAUUGAUAUGGUAGGCAAUGUUUGAUCUGAAAAUUAAAGUGAGACUAGAAUCUGGGUCAGCAUUUCUUAAGACUGGGAAGAAAAGACAAAGGUUUUCAAGAAUUUUUAUCAUGGGUCAGGGAAGUCACCCUAACCAAAUGAAGGUUAAAGGAAUGCUGAGAGCAAACAUAAAAUUCCCUUCUAUUAUUAUGCUAACAGCACUUAUCCAAUGGUAUUCAAUAAAAUAUUAUAUCAGUGUUACCAUAAUUUUGAGGAGAAUCCAUGGGAAGUUUAUCAAGGUAUAUUUUUAAUUAUAGAAAAGCAAAUUGAGGAGAUCCUAUUGUGGCACAAUAAGAUCAGUGCUGUCUCUGGAGCAAGGUAGUGCAGAUUCAAUCCCAGCAAAACGGGUUAAGGAUCUGGUGUUGCCACAGCUGUAGCAUAGUUCGCAACUGCAACUUAGACCUAAUAACCUGCUCAGGCAUCUCCAUAUGCCACUGGGAAGCCAAAAAAGGAAAAAGAAAAAGAAGAACAAGUUGAAGAGUACUAGAAUAUGACACUCCAAAAUACACCUGUCUGGCAUACGGAUUAUUUUGAGCUAAAGGCAAUUCAGAACAAAGAGGCAUAAAAGCUGUUUACUUGCUCCAUAACUGCUUAAAAAUAGAAUAUGAAAUUGUUUUCAGGUAGCUGUGGGGUGAGAACACUGAACCCUAACCACUUGGUGUAGGUACCCAGAACUUGUCCCUUUGGAGAAAGAAUUCUGCAAAGAGACUGAGGAUAGUGAGGUAAAUUAGUGUUUAUCAAGAGAGAAGAGAAAGAAGAUAAUAUGGAGAAAGCACAGGCAGGGUUUAUUAAGAGAGAAGAAAGAAGACAGGUGUGGAGAAAGCACCAGAUAGCUGGAGAGUGGGGAGUGGAGAGGGAGAGAGAGAGAGACAGAGGCAAAGACAAAGAGAAAGAGAGGAACCCGGGUUUGAGGUCCUUUAAGUCAUGUAUAUGGGGGCAGUCCUUCCUCUGGCCAAUCAUCUUGCUUCAAUUGGCCUUGGCCUGACUCAGGGCCCUCCUGUAUGCACAGGCAUCUUUUAGCCAGGAUGGAUUUUAGCACAAGGGUCUCUGAGAAGUUGACAGGAUGUAUUACGGUCUGGUGCCUCUCCUUUGUCUGACCCCUGAGGAAUGUUUCUGUGAGUGUGUAGUUCCAUAGGUCUCCUUGACCGCAAGAAUGAGAAAUAGAUGGUCUCUAUCUUUUAUCCAAGCAGCAUGCAGCUUUCAUCCUGAAGUUAUCUGUCCACAGGGAACAGAUUACUGUUGCUCAGCUU
Molecule: long non-coding RNA, 5732 nt
Filed under: Sus scrofa (pig)
Lineage: Eukaryota; Metazoa; Chordata; Mammalia; Artiodactyla; Suidae
Description: lncRNA (ENSSSCG00015023827.1)
Source: RNAcentral